Molecule: ribosomal RNA, 1812 nt
Filed under: Rhipicephalus annulatus
Lineage: Eukaryota; Metazoa; Arthropoda; Arachnida; Ixodida; Ixodidae
Also listed under: 3 other names
Description: SSU rRNA
Rfam family: Eukaryotic small subunit ribosomal RNA
Source: RNAcentral
AACCUGGUUGAUCCUGCCAGUAGUCAUAUGCUUGUCUCAAAGAUUAAGCCAUGCAUGUCUAAGUACAUGCCGAAAUAAGGCGAAACCGCGAAUGGCUCAUUAAAUCAGUUAUGGUUCCUUAGAUCGUUUCUUCCUACUUGGAUAACUGUGGCAAUUCUAGAGCUAAUACAUGCAGUGAGCCUGGAGCCCUUUGGGUAACGGGUGCUUUUAUUAGACCAAGAUCGAUCGGGUUUCGGCCCGUAUUGUGUGGUGACUCUGGAUAACUUUGUGCUGAUCGCAUGGCCACGAGCCGGCGACGUUUCUUUCAAGUGUCUGCCUUAUCAACUUUCGAUGGUAGGUUACUUGCUUACCAUGGUUGUUACGGGUAACGGAGAAUCAGGGUUCGAUUCCGGAGAGGGAGCCUGAGAAACGGCUACCACAUCCAAGGAAGGCAGCAGGCGCGCAAAUUACCCACUCCCGGCACGGGGAGGUAGUGACGAAAAAUAACAAUACGGGACUCUUUUGAGGCCCCGUAAUUGAAAUGAGUACACUCUAAAUCCUUUAACGAGGAUCAAUUGGAGGGCAAGUCUGGUGCCAGCAGCCGCGGUAAUUCCAGCUCCAAUAGCGUAUACUAAAGCUGCUGCGGUUAAAAAGCUCGUAGUUGGAUCUCAGUUCCAGACGAGUAGUGCAUCUACCCGAUGCGACGGCUCGGACUGAACAUCAUGCCGGUUCUUUCUUGGUGCACUUCAUUGUGUGCCUCGAGAUGGCCGGUGCUUUUACUUUGAAAAAAUUAGAGUGCUCAACGCAGGCGAGUCGCCUGAAUAAACUUGCAUGGAAUAAUAGAACAAGACCUCGUUUCUGUUCUGUUGGUUUUUGGAAUACGAGGUAAUGAUUAAGAGGGACGGACGGGGGCAUUCGUAUUGCGGCGCUAGAGGUGAAAUUCUUGGACCGUCGCAAGACGAACUACUGCGAAAGCAUUUGCCAAGAAUGUUUUCAUUGAUCAAGAACGAAAGUCAGAGGUUCGAAGGCGAUCAGAUACCGCCCUAGUUCUGACCAUAAACGAUGCCAACCAGCGAUCCGCCUGAGUUACUCAAAUGACUCGGCGGGCAGCUUCCGGGAAACCAAAGUAUUUGGGUUCCGGGGGAAGUAUGGUUGCAAAGCUGAAACUUAAAGGAAUUGACGGAAGGGCACCACCAGGAGUGGAGCCUGCGGCUUAAUUUGACUCAACACGGGAAAACUUACCCGGCCCGGACACUGGGAGGAUUGACAGAUUGAGAGCUCUUUCUUGAUUCGGUGGAUGGUGGUGCAUGGCCGUUCUUAGUUGGUGGAGCGAUUUGUCUGGUUAAUUCCGAUAACGAACGAGACUCUAGCCUAUUAAAUAGGUGCGGGGUUCCCAGCACCUUACAACCUUCUUAGAGGGACAAGCGGCUCCUAGCCGCACGAAACAGAGCAAUAACAGGUCUGUGAUGCCCUUAGAUGUCCGGGGCCGCACGCGCGCUACACUGAAGGAAGCAGCGUGUCUUUAUCCCUGUCUGAAAAGACUGGGUAACCCGUGGAACUUCUUUCGUGAUUGGGAUAGGGGCUUGCAAUUGUUCCCCUUGAACGAGGAAUUCCCAGUAAGCGCGAGUCAUAAGCUCGCGUUGAUUACGUCCCUGCCCUUUGUACACACCGCCCGUCGCUACUACCGAUUGAAUGAUUUAGUGAGGUCUUCGGACCGAUGUCCGGCGCGGCCUUUCGGUUGCGCCGGUCUGUUGGAAAGAUGACCAAACUUGAUCAUUUAGAGGAAGUAAAAGUCGUAACAAGGUUUCCGUAGGUGAACCUGCGGAAGGAUCA